GUGAAGUCGUAACAAGGUAGCCGUAGGGGAACCUGCGGCUGGAUCACCUCCUUAAUCGACGACA
Molecule: ribosomal RNA, 64 nt
Filed under: Pseudomonas sp. RIT-PI-o
Lineage: Bacteria; Pseudomonadati; Pseudomonadota; Gammaproteobacteria; Pseudomonadales; Pseudomonadaceae
Description: partial 16S ribosomal RNA
Rfam family: Bacterial small subunit ribosomal RNA (bases 1-54)
Source: RNAcentral